UACGGAAUGUGCAAACGUUAUUCGGAAUCACUGGGCUUAAAGAGUCCGUAGGCGGCAUGUUAGGUGAGGUGUGAAAUCCCCCGGCUCAACCGAGGAAUUGCGCUUCAAACCCGGCGUGCUAGAGGAAGAUAGAGGUGGGCGGAACUGAUGGUGGAGCGGUGAAAUGCGUUGAUAUCAUCAGGAACACCGGAGGCGAAGGCGGCCCACUGGGUCUUUUCUGACG
RNAcentral lists this ribosomal RNA (223 nucleotides) under uncultured bacterium. RNAcentral describes it as "partial 16S ribosomal RNA". It matches the Rfam family "Bacterial small subunit ribosomal RNA", at positions 524 to 745 of the family's 1533-position model. The record is from RNAcentral.